AUUGAACGCUGGCGGCAUGCUUUACACAUGCAAGUCGAACGGUAACAGGCCUUCGGGUGCUGACGAGUGGCGAACGGGUGAGUAAUGCAUCGGAACGUACCCAGAGGUGGGGGAUAACGCAGGGAAAGCUGUGCUAAUACCGAAUGUGAUCUGAGGAUGAAAGCGGGGGACCGAGCAGCAAUGUUUGGCCUCGCGCCUUUGGAGCGGCCGAUGUCGGAUUAGCUAGUUGGUGGGGUAAAGGCACACCAAGGCGACGAUCCGUAGCUGGUCUGAGAGGAAGACCAGCCACACUGGGACUGAGACACGGCCCAGACUCCUACGGGAGGCAGCAGUGGGGAAUUUUGGACAAUGGGCGCAAGCCUGAUCCAGCAAUGCCGCGUGCGGGAAGAAGGCCUUCGGGUUGUAAACCGCUUUUGGCAGGAACGAAACGGUGUCCGCUAAUACCGGGCGCUAAUGACGGUACCUGCAGAAUAAGCACCGGCUAACUACGUG
RNAcentral lists this ribosomal RNA (492 nucleotides) under uncultured bacterium. RNAcentral describes it as "partial 16S ribosomal RNA". It matches the Rfam family "Bacterial small subunit ribosomal RNA", at positions 29 to 507 of the family's 1533-position model. The record is from RNAcentral.